CAGCUGUAAACGAUGCGCGUUAGGUGUAUCGGUGACCACGAGUCACCGAGGUGCCGAAGAGAAAUCGUGAAACGUGCCGCCUGGGAAGUACGGUCGCAAGGCUGAAACUUAAAGGAAUUGGCGGGGGAGCACCACAACAGGUGGAGCCUGCGGUUUAAUCGGACUCAACGCCGGGAAGCUCACCGGAUAAGACAGCUGAAUGAUAGCCGGGUUGAAGACUCUGCUUGACUAGCUGAGAGGAGGUGCAUGGCGUGUGACUGU
Molecule: ribosomal RNA, 261 nt
Filed under: uncultured archaeon
Lineage: Archaea
Description: partial 16S ribosomal RNA
Rfam family: Archaeal small subunit ribosomal RNA
Source: RNAcentral